AAUGCGAUAAGUAAUGUGAAUUGCAGAAUUCAGUGAAUCAUCGAAUCUUUGAACGCACACUGCGCCCGCCAGUAUUCUGGCGGGCAUGCCUGUUCGAGCGUCAUUACAACCCUCAGGCCCCCGGGCCUGGCGUUGGGGAUCGGCGGAAGCCCCCUGCGGGCACAACGCCGUCCCCCAAAUACAGUGGCGGUCCCGCCGCAGCUUCCAUUGCGUAGUAGCUAACACCUCGCAACUGGAGAGCGGCGCGGCCACGCCGUAAAACACCCAACUUCUGAAUGUUGACCUCGAAUCAGGUAGGAAUACCCGCUGAACUUAAGC
Molecule: unclassified non-coding RNA, 318 nt
Filed under: plant metagenome
Description: partial contains 5.8S ribosomal RNA, internal transcribed spacer 2, and large subunit ribosomal RNA
Rfam family: 5.8S ribosomal RNA (bases 1-103)
Source: RNAcentral